Molecule: ribosomal RNA, 517 nt
Filed under: fungal sp. GZ-2010b
Lineage: Eukaryota; Fungi
Description: eukaryotic LSU rRNA
Rfam family: 5.8S ribosomal RNA (bases 204-357)
Source: RNAcentral
UGGAAGUAAAAGUCGUAACAAGGUCUCCGUUGGUGAACCAGCGGAGGGAUCAUUACCGAGUUUACAACUCCCAAACCCCUGUGAACAUACCACUUGUUGCCUCGGCGGAUCAGCCCGCUCCCGGUAAAACGGGACGGCCCGCCAGAGGACCCCUAAACUCUGUUUCUAUAUGUAACUUCUGAGUAAAACCAUAAAUAAAUCAAAACUUUCAACAACGGAUCUCUUGGUUCUGGCAUCGAUGAAGAACGCAGCAAAAUGCGAUAAGUAAUGUGAAUUGCAGAAUUCAGUGAAUCAUCGAAUCUUUGAACGCACAUUGCGCCCGCCAGUAUUCUGGCGGGCAUGCCUGUUCGAGCGUCAUUUCAACCCUCAAGCACAGCUUGGUGUUGGGACUCGCGUUAAUUCGCGUUCCCCAAAUUGAUUGGCGGUCACGUCGAGCUUCCAUAGCGUAGUAGUAAAACCCUCGUUACUGGUAAUCGUCGCGGCCACGCCGUUAAACCCCAACUUCUGAAUGUUGACC